AAUUUUGUUUUGGUCUUUUUUCCUGGAUAGUUCUUUAGACUCACUUAAUUUACAUAAAAUCUAGGUCAGGCGUCUACGAACCGAUCGGUUUAACCAAAGGCGUUUGCCAAGCACACCGUCGAACCGUUGCAGAUAACGAAUCUCGUGGACACGCGUAUUAUAGUUAACGGGUAGUUAUACUGAUUUCGUCGGCAGGUAAGUGUACAUACUAUUUGUUUACGUUCCGCGUGUACAUACACACAGUACCUACGCGCGAAGGGAAACGGCUACGCAAACGUGGACUCGAUUUAUCGAUUCGGUCGGGAGAACAUUUU
Non-coding RNA from Cinara cedri, 314 nucleotides. Lineage: Eukaryota; Metazoa; Arthropoda; Insecta; Hemiptera; Aphididae. The record is from the annotation of a GenBank genome assembly.